GAUGAACGCUAGCUACAGGCUUAACACAUGCAAGUCGAGGGGCAGCGGGAUUGAAGCUUGCUUCAAUUGCCGGCGACCGGCGCACGGGUGAGUAACGCGUAUCCAACCUUCCGUACACUCAGGGAUAGCCUUUCGAAAGAAAGAUUAAUACCUGAUGGUAUGAUGAGAUUGCAUGAUAGCAUCAUUAAAGAUUUAUCGGUGUACGAUGGGGAUGCGUUCCAUUAGGUAGUAGGCGGGGUAACGGCCCACCUAGCCGACGAUGGAUAGGGGUUCUGAGAGGAAGGUCCCCCACAUUGGAACUGAGACACGGUCCAGACUCCUACGGGAGGCAGCAGUGGGGAAUCUUCCGCAAUGGGCGAAAGCCUGACGGAGCAACGCCGCGUGAGUGAUGACGGCCUCGGUUGUAAACUACUGUGAUCCGGGACGAAAAGGACAGAGUGCGAAGAAC
Molecule: ribosomal RNA, 448 nt
Filed under: uncultured bacterium
Lineage: Bacteria
Description: bacterial SSU rRNA
Rfam family: Bacterial small subunit ribosomal RNA
Source: RNAcentral